UACAGAGGUCUCAAGCGUUGUUCGGAUUCAUUGGGCGUAAAGGGCGCGUAGGCGGUCGUGACAAGUCACUUGUGAAAUCUCCGGGCUUAACUCGGAACGGUCAAGUGAUACUGUCGGACUAGAGUACAGAAGGGGCAACUGGAAUUCUCGGUGUAGCGGUGAAAUGCGUAGAUAUCGAGAGGAACGCCGGUGGCGAAAGCGAUCCGCUGGACCCUUUCUGACGCUGAGGCGCGAAAGCCAGGGGAGCAAACGGG
Molecule: ribosomal RNA, 254 nt
Filed under: uncultured bacterium
Lineage: Bacteria
Description: partial 16S ribosomal RNA
Rfam family: Bacterial small subunit ribosomal RNA
Source: RNAcentral